Molecule: long non-coding RNA, 2760 nt
Filed under: Marmota monax (woodchuck)
Lineage: Eukaryota; Metazoa; Chordata; Mammalia; Rodentia; Sciuridae
Source: RNAcentral
AUCAUUAAUAGUUACUAAGGUCAUGACUUUUAGGUAAAGUUCAUAAAAACUUUUUUUCAGAGGUAGCUUUAAUUCAAGAUUGGGCAAAAGAAUAUUAUAGGAUACAUUAUAUAAUACCUGGCACUGUAGAGAAAAUGUUUUUAUACUCUUGAAUUAAUCCCAUACUUGUCUCAUCAUAUAUGUAUAUAGUUGUUUUUCAUAUUUCAAAGUGAUCGUCUAACAAUGAAUUGUAUUUCCCAGCUUCAAUGAUCAGUGGCUUUUCUCUGACAGCCUCUCUAUGCUAUUUUAUUCUCUUGCAUAAAAAACUCAUUUACUGUGUGUAAAGAGUUUUCAAAUGUGCAGUAAGAAGUAUUUCCAUUCUUCCAGGAUGCCUGCUUCUAGUAUUUAUUGUCAUUCACAUUAUCUCCAUUUAUAUUCUUGUUUCAGGAUGUAUGAAUUUGUUUCAUCUCAGCUGCAAUUUCCUGACAAUAUCUUGAUAUUCUAGGCGUCUGCAUAUUGACUUUAUCUCUUCAGCAGCAUAAUACCUACCAAAGUAUGGCCAACUUAAAGUUUAAUUAACAUAAUGUUGAUUUAUUUCCUCAGAGAUUAUUAACCAAGAUGUAGAAACUGUGUUACAAAAUUGGACCAUUACUAUACUACUGUAAUUUCCUUAGGAUUUCUAGAGAUUAAAAAUAUUCAAUCUACAGUGAAUUAAAUUGCUUUAUUUGUAUCCUUUUCAAGAAGUCAAGAGAAGAAAAAACACAUACAUCUCUUCCAUAGCACCAAAGACCAACUUUUACUGGGUAAGUCACAGAUUCAUAUGUGUCUUUUAAUAGCCAUUUUUUAGAGCAUUUUUAAGUUUACAGCAAAAUUAAGCAGCAAGUACAGAGAUUUCCUACAGGCAAUGAACAGAUGAAGAACCAAUGGAAACGUGUUCAAAAAUUCCUGUGUUAGCUAACAGGCUUCUGGGUGUAUUGCUGUGGUCCACAGAGAAGGCUGGAGAAGGUGCAAGGAGACACUGUAUCAGCUACUACAGCCUUAGAACAAAAUCUGUCCUUUUAAAACAAAAUUGGGUCUGGACUUCAAAACUGUUCCUAUGCAGCUUAUUUUACUUUUGUUUAAUUAAGUAAACAAGAGGGUUUUUUUUUUUCCCUGGGUAGGGUGUAGUAGAUUUCCUAUAUAUCCCCUAGCCCUGCAUGUGCAUAAUCUUUUCCAUUAUCAAUGUCCCCCACCAGACUGGUACAUUUGUAACAAUCAAUAAAUCUACACUGACAUAUGACUACCCAAAGCCAUAGUUUACAUUAAUUUUCACCAUUAUACAUUUUCUGGGUUUUGGACAAAUGUUUAGUGCCAUGUACUCAUCUUUGUGGUAUUGUACAGAAUCGUUUCACGGCCCUAAAAAUCCUCUAUGAUCUACCUGUUCAUUAAUGCCUCCCUUCCAACUCCUGGAAACCACUGAUCUUUAAACCUGCUUUUCACAGAAUAUCAUAUAGGAGGGAUCAUACAGUAGAGAGCCUUUUCAGAAUGGCUUUUUUGUCAGUCAUGUGCAUUUAAGUCUAUUCCAUGUCUUUUCAUAGCUUGAUAGCUCAUUGGUUUUAGCACUGAAUAAUAAACUCUCCAAUGUCUUGACAUACCACAGUUUAUCCUAUUAAAAGACAUCUUAGUUUGUCCUACUAAAGGACAUCUUAGUUUCUUCUAAAUUUUUGGUAAUUAUGCAUAAAGCUACUGCAAGCUUCCAUGUGCAGGUUUUUAUAUGGACCAAGAUUAAUGUGUGUGGACAUUUUCAACUUGUUUGCGUAAAUACCAAGAAAUUCAAUGUCCAAACUAUUCAAAGUGGUUGUAGCAUUUGUAUUCCCACCAGCAAUGAAUCAGAGGUCCUAAUGCUCUACAUAUUUACCAGCAUAUAGUGCUAUCAGCAUUUGAGAUCUUCAUCACUCUAGCAGAUGUGUAGUAGUGCUCCAUUAUUGUAUUAAUUUGCACUUCUUUAAGGAUAUCUUUUUCAUGUUUACUUGUCAUGUAUAAAACUUCUUUGGUGAAGUGUCUGUUCAAGUCUUUUGUUCAUUUUUAAAAACAGGUUGUUUACUUACUAUAGAACUUUAUAAACUCUUAUAUAUUUCAGGUAAUAUUUGCUUCUUCUGUAAAUAUGUUCUGCCAAUUUGUGGUUUGUCUUUUCAUUUUAAACUUAAUGAGUUUUGUUUUCAUAUUCUUUAACACAAAUAAUUUAUAUCCCCCUUUUACUCCUAUUUUUGAGUAUCCUGCUACAGUUUCUGGAAAACAGAAGCAGAUAUUCCCACAUGAGGUCAAAUGAGUGAAAAUAUAAAGUAGUGGGAGGCUCAAGGCUCUAGAGUCAGGCUACCUAGGCUCCAAUCUUGGCUCUCACAUAUCCUCUUAAUAUUUCUGCUAUGGGCUGCACUGUGUUUCCCCAAAAUUCAUACACUGAAGCCUUAAUACUUCAUGUAACUGUUUAAACAUAGGGCCUUUACAAAGGUAACUGGUUAAAUGAGGUCAUAAAGGUGGGGCCUCAUGCAACAGUAGUGAGGUCUUAUGAGAAGAGACACCAAUAAGCUCUCACAUUCUCUUUCCAUGAGUGCACAGAGGAACGGCCACAUGAAGACAGAGGAGAAGCAUUCAUCUGCAAACCAGGGAGAGGGCCAUGGCCAGACACCAGCACCACUAACAUCUCAAUCUUGGAUGCCUAGCAUCCUUAACUGUGAGAAAAUAAAGUCCUGUUGUCUAAGCCAUCUAGUCUGUGGUACUUUAUUAUGACAACGCUAGAAGACU